GCACCCGCACAAGCGGUGGAGCAUGCUGUUUAAUUCGAAAAUACGCGAAGAACCUUACCUAGAUUUGACAUCCCCGGCAAUGUUAUGGAAACAUAGCGGAGGUUACCCGGGAGACAGGUGGUGCAUGGUUGUCGUCAGCUCGUGUCGUGAGAUGUUUGGUUAAGUCCAACAACGAGCGCAACCCUUAUUUUUAGUUGCUAACAUUUAGUUGAGAACUCUAAAAAUACUGCCAGUGUAAGCUGGAGGAAGGUGGGGAUGAGGUCAAAUCAUCAUGCCCCUUACAUCUAGGGCUACAGGCGUGCUACAAUGGCCGAUACAACGAGUCGCAACACGGUGACGUGAAGCUAAUCUCUUAAAGUCGGUCUCAGUCCGGAUUGGAGUCUGCAAUUCGACUCCAUGAAGUUGGAAUCGCUAGUAAUCCCGAAUCAGAAUGUCGGGGUGAAUACGUUCCCGGGUGUU
This 459-nucleotide ribosomal RNA is filed under the name uncultured bacterium. Its description in RNAcentral is "bacterial SSU rRNA". It matches the Rfam family "Bacterial small subunit ribosomal RNA", at positions 917 to 1382 of the family's 1533-position model. The record is from RNAcentral.